Molecule: ribosomal RNA, 449 nt
Filed under: uncultured bacterium
Lineage: Bacteria
Description: partial 16S ribosomal RNA
Rfam family: Bacterial small subunit ribosomal RNA
Source: RNAcentral
AACGAACGCUGGCGGCAGGCCUAACACAUGCAAGUCGAACGCUGUAGCAAUACAGAGUGGCAGACGGGUGAGUAACGCGUGGGAACCUUCCCAAUGGUGCGGAAUAGCCCAGGGAAACUUGGGGUAAUACCGCAUAAGCCCUUAGGGGGAAAGAUUUAUCGCCAUUGGAUGGGCCCGCGUCGGAUUAGCUAGUUGGUGAGGUAAUGGCUCACCAAGGCAACGAUCCGUAGCUGGUUUGAGAGAAUGACCAGCCACACUGGGACUGAGACACGGCCCAGACUCCUACGGGAGGCAGCAGUGGGGAAUCUUGGACAAUGGGCGCAAGCCUGAUCCAGCCAUGCCGCGUGAGUGACGAAGGCCUUAGGGUUGUAAAGCUCUUUUGCCGGGGACGAUAAUGACGGUACCCGGAGAAUAAGUCCCGGCUAACUUCGCGCCAGCAGCCGCAGUAA